UACGUAGGUGGCAAGCGUUGUCCGGAUUUAUUGGGUUUAAAGGGUGCGUAGGCGGUUGAUUAAGUCAGUUGUGAAAUACGGCAGCUUAACUGUCGAGGUGCAAUUGAUACUGGUUGACUUGAGUACAGACGAGGUAGGCGGAAUUGACGGUGUAGCGGUGAAAUGCAUAGAUAUCGUCAAGAACACCGAUGGCGAAGGCAGUCCCCUGGGCCUGUACUGACGCUCAUGCACGAAAGCGUGGGGAGCAAACAGG
RNAcentral lists this ribosomal RNA (253 nucleotides) under uncultured bacterium. RNAcentral describes it as "partial 16S ribosomal RNA". It matches the Rfam family "Bacterial small subunit ribosomal RNA", at positions 524 to 776 of the family's 1533-position model. The record is from RNAcentral.